GGGUUGUGAGGUUAAGCGACUAAGCGUACACGGUGGAUGCCCUGGCAGUCAGAGGCGAUGAAGGACGUGCUAAUCUGCGAAAAGCGUCGGUAAGGUGAUAUGAACCGUUAUAACCGGCGAUGUCCGAAUGGGGAAACCCAGUGCAAUUCGUUGCACUAUCGUUAACUGAAUACAUAGGUUAACGAGGCGAACCGGGGGAACUGAAACAUCUAAGUACCCCGAGGAAAAGAAAUCAACCGAGAUUCCCCCAGUAGCGGCGAGCGAACGGGGAGCAGCCCAGAGUCUGAAUCAGCUUGUGUGUUAGUGGAACGGUCUGGAAAGUCCGACGGUACAGGGUGAUAGUCCCGUACACCAAAAUGCACAGGCUGUGAACUCGAAGAGUAGGGCGGGACACGUGGUAUCCUGUCUGAAUAUGGGGGGACCAUCCUCCAAGGCUAAAUACUCCUGACUGACCGAUAGUGAACCAGUACCGUGAGGGAAAGGCGAAAAGAACCCCGGCGAGGGGAGUGAAAAAGAACCUGAAACCGUGUACGUACAAGCAGUGGGAGCACCUUCGGGUGUGACUGCGUACCUUUUGUAUAAUGGGUCAGCGACUUAUAUUCUGUAGCAAGGUUAACCGUAUAGGGGAGCCGCAGGGAAACCGAGUCUUAACUGGGCGUUAAGUUGCAGGGUAUAGACCCGAAACCCGGUGAUCUAGCCAUGGGCAGGUUGAAGGUUGGGUAACACUAACUGGAGGACCGAACCGACUAAUGUUGAAAAAUUAGCGGAUGACUUGUGGCUGGGGGUGAAAGGCCAAUCAAACCGGGAGAUAGCUGGUUCUCCCCGAAAGCUAUUUAGGUAGCGCCUCGUGAACUCAUCUUCGGGGGUAGAGCACUGUUUCGGCUAGGGGGUCAUCCCGACUUACCAACCCGAUGCAAACUACGAAUACCGAAGAAUGUUAUCACGGGAGACACACGGCGGGUGCUAACGUCCGUCGUGAAGAGGGAAACAACCCAGACCGCCAGCUAAGGUCCCAAAGUCAUGGUUAAGUGGGAAACGAUGUGGGAAGGCACAGACAGCCAGGAUGUUGGCUUAGAAGCAGCCAUCAUUUAAAGAAAGCGUAAUAGCUCACUGGUCGAGUCGGCCUGCGCGGAAGAUGUAACGGGGCUAAACCAUGCACCGAAGCUGCGGCAGCGACACUAUGUGUUGUUGGGUAGGGGAGCGUUCUGUAAGCCUGCGAAGGUGGCCUGUGAGGGUUGCUGGAGGUAUCAGAAGUGCGAAUGCUGACAUAAGUAACGAUAAAGCGGGUGAAAAGCCCGCUCGCCGGAAGACCAAGGGUUCCUGUCCAACGUUAAUCGGGGCAGGGUGAGUCGACCCCUAAGGCGAGGCCGAAAGGCGUAGUCGAUGGGAAACAGGUUAAUAUUCCUGUACUUGGUGUUACUGCGAAGGGGGGACGGAGAAGGCUAUGUUAGCCGGGCGACGGUUGUCCCGGUUUAAGCAUGUAGGCUGGUUAUCCAGGCAAAUCCGGAUAAUCAAGGCUGAGGUGUGAUGACGAGGCACUACGGUGCUGAAGUAACAAAUGCCCUGCUUCCAGGAAAAGCCUCUAAGCAUCAGGUAACAUCAAAUCGUACCCCAAACCGACACAGGUGGUCAGGUAGAGAAUACCAAGGCGCUUGAGAGAACUCGGGUGAAGGAACUAGGCAAAAUGGUGCCGUAACUUCGGGAGAAGGCACGCUGGUGUGUAGGUGAAGUCCCUGCGGAUGGAGCUGAGACCAGUCGAAGAUACCAGCUGGCUGCAACUGUUUAUUAAAAACACAGCACUGUGCAAACACGAAAGUGGACGUAUACGGUGUGACGCCUGCCCGGUGCCGGAAGGUUAAUUGAUGGGGUUAUCCGUAAGGAGAAGCUCUUGAUCGAAGCCCCGGUAAACGGCGGCCGUAACUAUAACGGUCCUAAGGUAGCGAAAUUCCUUGUCGGGUAAGUUCCGACCUGCACGAAUGGCGUAAUGAUGGCCAGGCUGUCUCCACCCGAGACUCAGUGAAAUUGAACUCGCUGUGAAGAUGCAGUGUACCCGCGGCAAGACGGAAAGACCCCGUGAACCUUUACUAUAGCUUGACACUGAACAUUGAGCCUUGAUGUGUAGGAUAGGUGGGAGGCUUUGAAGCGUGGACGCCAGUCUGCGUGGAGCCAACCUUGAAAUACCACCCUUUAAUGUUUGAUGUUCUAACGUUGGCCCCUGACCGGGGUUGCGGACAGUGUCUGGUGGGUAGUUUGACUGGGGCGGUCUCCUCCCAAAGCGUAACGGAGGAGCACGAAGGUUAGCUAAUCCUGGUCGGACAUCAGGAGGUUAGUGCAAUGGCAUAAGCUAGCUUGACUGCGAGCGUGACGGCGCGAGCAGGUGCGAAAGCAGGUCAUAGUGAUCCGGUGGUUCUGAAUGGAAGGGCCAUCGCUCAACGGAUAAAAGGUACUCCGGGGAUAACAGGCUGAUACCGCCCAAGAGUUCAUAUCGACGGCGGUGUUUGGCACCUCGAUGUCGGCUCAUCACAUCCUGGGGCUGAAGUAGGUCCCAAGGGUAUGGCUGUUCGCCAUUUAAAGUGGUACGCGAGCUGGGUUUAGAACGUCGUGAGACAGUUCGGUCCCUAUCUGCCGUGGGCGCUGGAGAAUUGAGGGGGGCUGCUCCUAGUACGAGAGGACCGGAGUGGACGCAUCACUGGUGUUCGGGUUGUCAUGCCAAUGGCACUGCCCGGUAGCUAAAUGCGGAAGAGAUAAGUGCUGAAAGCAUCUAAGCACGAAACUUGCCCCGAGAUGAGUUCUCCCUGAGACUUUAAGUCUCCUGAAGGAACGUU
This 2825-nucleotide ribosomal RNA is filed under the name Klebsiella pneumoniae. Its description in RNAcentral is "partial 23S ribosomal RNA". It matches the Rfam family "Bacterial large subunit ribosomal RNA". Lineage: Bacteria; Pseudomonadati; Pseudomonadota; Gammaproteobacteria; Enterobacterales; Enterobacteriaceae. The record is from RNAcentral.